Molecule: ribosomal RNA, 280 nt
Filed under: uncultured bacterium
Lineage: Bacteria
Description: partial 16S ribosomal RNA
Rfam family: Bacterial small subunit ribosomal RNA
Source: RNAcentral
AGCGAACGCUGGCGGCAGGCUUAACACAUGCAAGUCGAGCGGGCGUAGCAAUACGUCAGCGGCAGACGGGUGAGUAACACGUGGGAACGUACCUUUUGGUUCGGAACAACUGAGGGAAACUUCAGCUAAUACCGGAUAAGCCCUAACGGGGAAAGAUUUAUCGCCGAAAGAUCGGCCCGCGUCUGAUUAGCUAGUUGGUGGGGUAAUGGCUCACCAAGGCGACGAUCAGUAGCUGGUCUGAGAGGAUGAUCAGCCACACUGGGACUGAGACACGGCCCAG